CCUACGGGCGGCAGCAGUCGAGAAUAAUUCACAAUGGGGGAAACCCUGAUGGUGCGACGCCGCGUGGGGGAAUGAAGGUCUUCGGAUUGUAAACCCCUGUCAUGUGGGUGCAAAUUAAAACGGUAGUACCAUAAGAGGCAACGACGGCUAACUCUGUGCCAGCAGCCGCGGUAAUACAGAGGUAUCAAGCGUUGUUCGGAAUCACUGGGCGUAAGGCGUGCGUAGGCUGUUUCGUAAGUCGUGUGUGAAAUGCGCGGGCUCAACCCGCGGACGGCACAAGAUACUGCGAGACUAGAGUGAUGGAGGGGGAAGUGGAAUUCUCGGUGUAGCAGUGAAAUGCGUAGAUAUCGGGAGGAACACUCGGGGCGAAGGCGGCUUCCUGAACAUUAACUGACGCUGAGGCACGAAGGCCAGGGGAGCGAAAGGGAUUAGAUACCCGAGUAGUC
RNAcentral lists this ribosomal RNA (446 nucleotides) under uncultured bacterium. Its description in RNAcentral is "partial 16S ribosomal RNA". It matches the Rfam family "Bacterial small subunit ribosomal RNA", at positions 338 to 795 of the family's 1533-position model. The record is from RNAcentral.